This is a long non-coding RNA of Physeter macrocephalus (sperm whale), 795 nucleotides long. RefSeq lists it as uncharacterized. NCBI's taxonomy places the organism in Eukaryota, Metazoa, Chordata, Mammalia, Artiodactyla, Physeteridae. The transcript is spliced from 8 exons. The record is from RefSeq and is a predicted model, not a curated record.
GAGCGGCCUCCAGCUCUUGUCAGUUAGGAUCGCCUUAAGUCGGCUGGCAUUUCUAGGCCAGUCGCAGGCCUUCGCACGGUUCACAAGAUGAAGAUGGGGGAGGAUUGGACGGUGCCAGGCAUGGGUGCCAGGCAUGAAUGCAAUGUGGCUUUUGAUGGCUUCUGGUGGACAGGUGGACUUGAAUCCUUGACCUGUCCGGGCCAACUUUUUGAUCCUGGGUACACGUUUUUAUCCAUGGAUGGCUUGCUUGGGGGGCAAAUUUUGGAGAUCUUUUAUAUUAAGGUGUCAAGGAGAGGUACUGGCUACAACGCAGGGAGCAAGAAGUAAAGGCAAAUGUUACCCUGAAGAUUUCAAGGUCAGUCAGUCUCUGGUAUAUAUGGUGAGUUAGAAUGUAACCAGUGAUGUGAUGAUUCUGCCAAAUGAAUAGAAUGAUAUCAUCUGUAAAACCGUUCCAUUUUGAUUCUGAGGUUACUUUAUCAACAAGUAUCACAAGUUUUUUCCCUUCUGUGAUUUGACAUAUAUGGUCUUUACUUUUCAGGGCAUUUAUGACAGCAGUCAUGCAUCUUAACAGUUGACAGGCAGCUGGAUGGAUGCUCAUGGGAUAGGAGAGGAAACAACUUUCAAUUUUUUUUAAAGCCUAUUUUAUUUAUUGGCCAUGCUGCACAGCAUGUAGGAUCUUAGUUCCCCCACCAGGGAUUGAACCCGUGCCCCCUGCAGUGGAAGCACAGAGCCCUAACCACUGGACCACCAGGGAAUUCUCCAACUUUGAAUUUUAAUAAAUAUUUAUGAACCGUC